AAUAUGUAUGUAUAUAUAUGUAUUUUGAAAAUAAGCAUUUAUCUAGCAUUAUUGCAUAAAUAAGCAUUUCGGCAUUUUCCCACCUGGAAUUUCGACUCACUGUACACACAAGCCCACAGGUUGUGAAGUUUUCAUAUACUUGAAAGAAGGGUCAAAAUUCAAACCAUUUAAACUUGAUCCGUAGAAAGAUCUUUUGUAACUAACCCAAUCACCUCGGAAGGGUCCAAAAGUGGGCAGUAAGUAACGAGGAACAUUUUAGAAAGGUUUACUUCAAAAAGAGCAUCGUUAUUAUAGAAAAAGAUUACAUAUAGAAAAAGCUGUUGAAGAAUUUAGGUGUGGGGCCGUACAUAAAUCAUAUGACCGAUUUCCGGAGAAUUUUGACCCCGUUUGACCUAUUUGCCCCCUGUUAUAAUUAACACCAGAAGAAUAAGAUGUCCCUCAAAACGAUCCCAUACUUUUCGUGCAGUCCCUAAUGUAAUUUAACGUGUUGAAUACAGGCUCCAUCUCACUUCGUAUUAAAAGGAAGCUUGAAUAUUAGUUUUUUCGGUAACGAGUGAGUGCUAAUUAAUCUCUACUUUAUAAUUACACAAGUAUUCCGAGCAGCCAUGUCUUCAAUUAAGGCAACUAAUUCAAUCUCCAUUUCUACCGCUAUGGCAAAUUUAUUGAUUCUUCGCGGAAUCUUCUCGCACAUGACCAUCCGUGAGUUGAAGGAGGCUCGAAAGGUGUCCAAAAUCUGGGAAAACGUGGUAACCAUGAUCUUCCAGAAUAAAACGCGAAUUUUGUGACAACUUCACCAUUCAAAAAAUCCUCGACAUGCUCACCCAGGUUUCCGAAACGUUACAAUAUUUCCAAGCCGGUGUGUUAAAAGUGUGCCGGAACCCACCAAAGGUUACGAUCGACCCUGCACAUUUCAAAUUUCCCACCAUGAAGAAGCUCGCUAGUUUAUGUCUCCCCACUGUGAACCAGUUUGACCUCGGAUUCACAAACUUGACCCAGGUUGACCUACCUUCUUUAAAGCGGGUCGAUUUAAAAUUAGAGGAAGGGGAUUACCAAUUUAGCGGAUGUUUAACCAAUUUCUUGAUGAAUUUAUCCCCGAAAUUUCCCUUGUCCAGCGUGGAGGAACUUCGGUUGGAAGUAGUUGAUAUAGAUUGCCCCACAUCGGACCUCAUUUCGUUCAAAAUUUGGCAAACCUUCCCCAAUUUGGAACGUUUAACGGUAAAAAUUUGUGAACCAAAGGAGCGAGACGACAAGAUGAAAGAGUUUUUUAAAAAUUUGCGCCAAUGUGUGGACACUUUGUCCUACCUGACGAUCCUGAUCUGCACGAAGUGCAGUUUUUCCGAGUUGAUGGACGGCAUGGGGUGUGGUCGCAAGGGUGACGAGGACGGAUACCAUUUUCCAAAAGGGUCACUGAAACACAUCCAAGUGGUUAGAUGAUAGUCAUCCUCGUUGCGGUCGAACGAUCCGCGGUGUAAAAAAUAUGAGACAGCGUUUAAAAUCUGGCAGCCCAAUUUGUCGUUUCUUGGCUUUGAGGUGGUUGUUUAUUUCAGUUCCAAGUUGCCGCAUUGUCUCGGAUGUUGGACUUUAUUCGGGAAAACGAACUUAAGGUGGACUUCGUGGAUUGGUAUUGACAUGUUGAUCACGACGAAAGUACAUACAGAAAAAUUCCAUUUGUCAAAUGUGGUGUUUUUGAUCAUAUAGUUGCAUUAUAAUUAAUUUAAUGUCAUGUAUGUAUUCAUAAAAUAAAAAUGCAUGCUUCAUUUUAAUGAUAAAAUACAGUAUGAUCUAAUAAAAAUUCUACAAAGAAUUAAUAAAAUGCAUAUUUAUGUGAAUUUUUAACAACAAUCCUGCAAAAUUUUUGUGAAAUCUUGAAACUUUCGCGAGUAUGUGUGGAUCUAAUACCUGUAAUUGAGGGCCCCACGGAUGCUACUGCAAUGAAAAUCUUACCACUUAGAAACAAACUACUACCAAUCUGCUAGAAAAUUAUUACCACACAACUCUACCAGAUUUUUAACAGUGUAAGAUUGAUAAUAAUUUUUAUGCAUGUAAAUAUCACACAUUUUUUGCUUGCAGAUUUGUGUGCACUCCACAGUCUGCUGAAAUCGGUGAGUGGAAUUUUUAAUCAAUAAUU
Folsomia candida is the source of this 2128-nucleotide RNA transcript. RefSeq lists it as uncharacterized. The transcript is spliced from 6 exons. Lineage: Eukaryota; Metazoa; Arthropoda; Collembola; Entomobryomorpha; Isotomidae. The record is from RefSeq and is a predicted model, not a curated record.